RNAcentral lists this long non-coding RNA (473 nucleotides) under Olea europaea (common olive). RNAcentral describes it as "long non-coding RNA (OEUR_LNC008488)". Lineage: Eukaryota; Viridiplantae; Streptophyta; Magnoliopsida; Lamiales; Oleaceae. The record is from RNAcentral.
AAAUAAAGGUCCCAAAUAUGUUACAUUGUUCACCCUAAAAUUAAAUUUAGCUAUACAUAUUAAUGAAAAAAGAAAAAGAAAUUAUGAAAGACAUCAUCGGAAGUUGACAGAACGUAAAUAAUUUCCAAUUAUGCUUUCUGCCGUCUUUGCCGCUUACGAGUAAAUCCUUUCCUCAACUGCUGCCUUUUUUAAUGUAUCUCUCCAAAAACAUGCCUCAAUUUCCGUGUAUUAUCAUUGCACUUGACAGUACUAUCUCUAUAUUAAUUGUAGCCAACAACUUCUUUCCUUCAAUCGCCACAAAUUAAUUUCAAUAGUAACUAGUAAGUCAGCCCUCAAAUAUGUGGCAAAAUUCUAUAAUAUUGGCUCUCAAUUUCCAUGCGCGUCUCCUCACAUAUGUGUGUAAAUUGUAUAAUAAUGGCUGAAUCUCUCCUCAAUUCCCGUGCGUCUCUUCUGUCAAAUUCCUCUCCUUCAAU